This 404-nucleotide long non-coding RNA is filed under the name Helianthus annuus (common sunflower). Lineage: Eukaryota; Viridiplantae; Streptophyta; Magnoliopsida; Asterales; Asteraceae. The record is from RNAcentral.
UACGCUUUGUUCUCCAGUCAUCAUUCAUAUUAGAUCCUCCAUCUAUGUAAUAUCAUCCUACUCGUACUACGGCAAAUUACCUUAAGUCGUCCUUCGGAUAUGCUUUUAUAUAUAGUAUAGAUAAUAGUACAACCUUACAUGAAUACAUACAUAUACUCGCCCAAGGGGUAUGAUCCUCAGGGACGAAUUAUGUAAUUUACUCUUUAUAAUAAAAGGGGCGAUGAUGAUGAUGAAUUUCUAGUUGUCUGAGUAAAAUCGGUGCAGCCUUGAGAUAUUCCGAAUCUUGGCGGGGCAAUUUCAUUAUUGCAGCCAUGGAGGUUUUAUCCUAUUUGCACUGGUUGAUUGUUUCUACAGAUCUGAGCCUCGUUCUUUUUUUUAACAAAAUUGUUUUUAAUUAUUCACGG